RNAcentral lists this ribosomal RNA (433 nucleotides) under uncultured bacterium. Its description in RNAcentral is "bacterial SSU rRNA". It matches the Rfam family "Bacterial small subunit ribosomal RNA", at positions 29 to 507 of the family's 1533-position model. The record is from RNAcentral.
AACGAACGCUGGCGGCAUGCCUAANACAUGCAAGUCGAACGAAGCCUUCGGGCUUAGUGGCGCACGGGUGCGUAACGCGUGGGAACCUACCAUCAGGUUCGGAAUAACAGUUAGAAAUGACUGCUAAUACCGGAUAAUGUCUUCGGACCAAAGAUUUAUCGCCUUUUGAUGGGCCCGCGUUGGAUUAGCUAGUUGGUGGGGUAAAGGCCUACCAAGGCGACGAUCCAUAGCUGGUCUGAGAGGAUGAUCAGCCACACUGGGACUGAGACACGGCCCAGACUCCUACGGGAGGCAGCAGUGGGGAAUAUUGGACAAUGGGCGAAAGCCUGAUCCAGCAAUGCCGCGUGAGUGAUGAAGGCCUUAGGGUUGUAAAGCUCUUUUACCAGGGAUGAUAAUGACAGUACCUGGAGAAUAAGCUCCGGCUAACUCCGUG